Molecule: long non-coding RNA, 329 nt
Organism: Drosophila mojavensis
Lineage: Eukaryota; Metazoa; Arthropoda; Insecta; Diptera; Drosophilidae
Exons: 4
Source: RefSeq, a predicted model, not a curated record
GUUACAUAGUUAUCGCAAUUUUGAUUUCAUUAAUAUUCGUUCGAAACAUCGCAAGUACAAUUGAGUAAGUGACGAUGCAUCCCUGGCUUAGUGCCUAUCGGAGUGCAUAAUCAAAACAAAACAAAACAAAAACAGCUAACUGAAAAUUGCAUUAAAUGCAAAUUUGAUGCUGCUAAUUGCUGCAAUUAUACAAAAUGCAGAGGGGCGCAAAUACUGAAGAUAGUGAAAUUGCAUUAACUGCAAGCUGACUAGCAGAGCUGCUGCCAUACAAAGUGUAGAGGGGCGCAAAACUGGAAAUAGCAGAAUUGCAUUAAUUGCAAGAUGACUAG